CUCUGUGACUCCUACGGGAGGCAGCAGUGGGGAAUAUUGCACAAUGGGGGAAACCCUGAUGCAGCCAUGCCGCGUGUGUGAAGAAGGCCUUCGGGUUGUAAAGCACUUUCAGUAGGGAGGAAGGUAGUGUAGUUAACACCUGCAUUAUUUGACGUUACCUACAGAAGAAGCACCGGCUAACUCCGUGCCAGCAGCCGCGGUAAUACGGAGGGUGCGAGCGUUAAUCGGAAUUACUGGGCGUAAAGCGCAUGCAGGCGGCCUGUUAAGUCAGAUGUGAAAGCCCCGGGGCUUAACCUCGGAAUUGCAUUUGAAACUGGCAGGCUAGAGUCUUGUAGAGGGGGUAGAAUUUCAGGUGUAGCGGUGAAAUGCGUAGAGAUCUGAAGGAAUACCAGUGGCGAAGGCGGCCCCCUGGACAAAGACUGACACUCAGAUGCGAAAGCGUGGGGAGCAAACAGGAUUAGAUACCCUGGUAG
RNAcentral lists this ribosomal RNA (473 nucleotides) under uncultured bacterium. Its description in RNAcentral is "bacterial SSU rRNA". It matches the Rfam family "Bacterial small subunit ribosomal RNA", at positions 328 to 793 of the family's 1533-position model. The record is from RNAcentral.